UAGGGAAUCUUCGGCAAUGGGGGCAACCCUGACCGAGCAACGCCGCGUGAGUGAAGAAGGUUUUCGGAUCGUAAAGCUCUGUUGUAAGAGAAGAACGAGUGUGAGAGUGGAAAGUUCACACUGUGACGGUAACUUACCAGAAAGGGACGGCUAACUACGUGCCAGCAGCCGCGGUAAUACGUAGGUCCCGAGCGUUGUCCGGAUUUAUUGGGCGUAAAGCGAGCGCAGGCGGUUUGAUAAGUCUGAAGUUAAAGGCUGUGGCUCAACCAUAGUUCGCUUUGGAAACUGUCAAACUUGAGUGCAGAAGGGGAGAGUGGAAUUCCAUGUGUAGCGGUGAAAUGCGUAGAUAUAUGGAGGAACACCGGUGGCGAAAGCGGCUCUCUGGUCUGUAACUGACGCUGAGGCUCGAAAGCGUGGGGAGCGAACAGGAUUAGAUACCCUGGUAGUCCACGCCGUAAACGAUGAGUGCUAGGUGUUGGAUCCUUUCCGGGAUUCAGUGCCGCAGCUAACGCAUUAAGCACUCCGCCUGGGGAGUACGACCGCAAGGUUG
RNAcentral lists this ribosomal RNA (550 nucleotides) under uncultured bacterium. RNAcentral describes it as "bacterial SSU rRNA". It matches the Rfam family "Bacterial small subunit ribosomal RNA", at positions 355 to 896 of the family's 1533-position model. The record is from RNAcentral.